CAGUAGCCGCGGUAAUACGUAGGGCGCAAGCGUUAAUCGGAAUUACUGGGCGUAAAGCGUGCGCAGGCGGUUCGCUAAGACAGAUGUGAAAUCCCCGGGCUUAACCUGGGAACUGCAUUUGUGACUGGCGGGCUAGAGUAUGGCAGAGGGGGGUAGAAUUCCACGUGUAGCAGUGAAAUGCGUAGAGAUGUGGAGGAAUACCAAUGGCGAAGGCAGCCCCCUGGGCCAAUACUGACGCUCAUGCACGAAAGCGUGGGGAGCAAACAGGAUUAGAUACCCGCGUAGUCCCUGUCUCUUAUAC
RNAcentral lists this ribosomal RNA (301 nucleotides) under uncultured bacterium. RNAcentral describes it as "partial 16S ribosomal RNA". It matches the Rfam family "Bacterial small subunit ribosomal RNA", at positions 509 to 807 of the family's 1533-position model. The record is from RNAcentral.